CUCCCUCCUUCACCCCGUUAUAAGGACCUCUGUCGAAUUAAGUAGUACAUAUCAGUUCGCAAUCAGUUGUAAUAGCAUACUAAUGUUGUAUACUGUUUUUUUAUUUCUCUUAUUUAAAUAUAGCCCGAGGAGAGAGUCACGUUUUACCUUCGCGAUUUAAUUAGGCCUUGUAUUUCACGUAUUUCAACAGUGCAUCUUGUUUUGAUUAAGAAAACGUCUUAAUUAAUUACAUACCAGCACGCUAAACGCAACUGAUGUCAACAGCGUUUCAAUGAGCAAUAUUCCAAUACGUCUUAUUUUGGAUCAUUCUUGCAUCUUAUCCUUGAAUAAUUGAAAAGGUCAAUUUAUAACUGGAACGACAAGACGGUGCAUUCGCCUGGAGACUGGCAAACACACCUGAGAUUGGCGAGAUGUCUGGAAUAACAUUGCUGCACCCAUAGAAGGCCCGACUCUCAGUCUCUGUUUAUUGCACAGAUGAUUUCAUUGCCAUAUCUGCUAUUUGUUUGCGUUGGCCUGUGUAAAAUCAUAUCUUGUGUGUUGAUGGAUUACACAACGGAGCCAGUAUGUGUCAUAUUAAGCAAGCUAUCAAAACAGCACUAGGAGUUUCUCUCACUUUGCUGGCAGAUCCAUCGCCAACCGCUCUCACCUCUGGGUUUGUUUGCGGUCUGGAUGGAUACUCAUCAAUGCAGGAGCCUUGUAGACUAAAGAGGGAUUGGGCUUGAUUUGUACAUCCCUCUUGACAAAUGACAUAAAUACACAUUAAGCAGUGAAAGCGUUUGUUUUAGGAACUCUUUAAAACCCCUCCAGAGGCCAAGAAAUGCUCCAUACAACAAAAACCUUGCAGUGCUUUUUAAGCUGGGAUGGGGAGUGGGGUGCAGAGGCAUGGAGUCUGGUUGAGGUUUUGGAUGGGAGUAGAGGAACUCUGGCCACAUGAAGACGCCCAGUCGCUUGAUCUCAAAGAUUUUGACUUUGUGAUGUCUCACGUCAUUGCUCAAUCGCACACCCACACCCUUCACUGUGUUCAGGCACGCUGUAUGGUACGCGCUUUGCUCUAUAGACCGCAGCUCAGCGGGCCCUGCAGGGUCUGCGGCGCUGGUCGCUCUCUGGCAUAAAUCAACAUUCAU
Molecule: long non-coding RNA, 1124 nt
Organism: Sinocyclocheilus anshuiensis
Lineage: Eukaryota; Metazoa; Chordata; Actinopteri; Cypriniformes; Cyprinidae
Exons: 3
Source: RefSeq, a predicted model, not a curated record